Molecule: long non-coding RNA, 842 nt
Filed under: Cricetulus griseus (Chinese hamster)
Lineage: Eukaryota; Metazoa; Chordata; Mammalia; Rodentia; Cricetidae
Description: lncRNA (ENSCGRG00015035594.1)
Source: RNAcentral
CAGUGUCUCAGGCCACUUCCUGUUGACUGCUCAAGAUAGAGCACUCUCAGCUAUCUUUCCAGCACCAUGUCUGCCUGCUUGUGACCCUGUUGUGCCAAGAUGAUAAUGGACUAAACAUCUGAAAAUGAGAAUACAAACCAAUACAAGACACUUUGAUUUCUGGUAUUCCAACUUCUAGCCCUGCAGAAGGUUUCAAACUGGAUCCACACAGUGGGUUCAGGGCUAACACUGUUCCCCUUUACCGUGUAACUCUUACCCUGGGCAGCAGGCAAAGUCUCAGGUCAUAGAUGCCCUUACCUAGCCCUGCUGAGGAUUUACGAAGUUUUGGAGUCAAACACCGCAGUCCAAAGCUCGCAUACCCACUACUUGCACGGGUGGAACUCCCUAAGGAUUUAUCUCUGCCAAGCACGGUAUGGGUCAUUAGUUUAUACCCCUAAACGGCUGCUGGACCUUGGGGGAAAUCCGCCAAGCUCACAAAGCUGCUGCCACUGAUGUGUUGGUGGCUUCUACCAUCCACCUGAAGGGACGGACCAUCUUUGUUCCUGGCUUGUCUGCCCUUUGAGUUUGGAAUCAGCGCUAGCAUACACACUCCCAGGAGCUCAAGGACUGGACCGAAUAGCAGCCUGGUGCAUCAAGAAGUCAAAAUUUGGGGGCUGGAGAGAUGGCUCAGAGGUAAAGAGCACUGAAUGCUCUUCCAGAGGAUCUGAGUUCAAUUUCCAGCAACCAUAUGGUGGCUCAUGACCAUCUAUAAUGACAUCUGGUGCCCUCUUCUGGUGUGCAGGCAUACACGGAGGCAGAAUGUUAUAUACAUGAUAAAUAAAUAAAUAAAAUCUUUUUUAAAA